CUCCCAAAACAUAGCAUACAAAUACACAAGAAAAAUAAAAAUAAUAUCAUUGUCUAUUGAGAUAUAGUAUACAAAAUGAACACAUCAAUUGUUUUGCUCUCUCUUAUUGCCUUGAUAAUUUUGUUAGGUUCACCAUCGUGUAUGGCAUUGGGAAUACAAGUACAAUGUAACACAUCAAAAGAUUGUAAACCUACAGCUUGUGGAAUUAUGCAAUGUUCUCAUGGAGUUUGUGUGUGUCCCCAUCAAAUAAAGAAGAGUGCUGCUUGCACCAAAGACAGUGAUUGUAUAAGCUUAUGUCCUCCUAAAUCUAUAGCAAAUUGUAUUAGAGGAGUUUGCAUUUGUGGUACAAAUUAGAGUCCAAAAGACAUAUAUGUUUUGAGUUAUAAAAAAACAAUUUUUUUA
Solanum lycopersicum (tomato) is the source of this 402-nucleotide long non-coding RNA. RefSeq lists it as uncharacterized. The record is from RefSeq and is a predicted model, not a curated record. NCBI's taxonomy places the organism in Eukaryota, Viridiplantae, Streptophyta, Magnoliopsida, Solanales, Solanaceae.